This 867-nucleotide ribosomal RNA is filed under the name uncultured archaeon. RNAcentral's name for it is "bacterial SSU rRNA". It matches the Rfam family "Archaeal small subunit ribosomal RNA", at positions 1 to 878 of the family's 1478-position model. The record is from RNAcentral.
CUCCGGUUGAUCCCGCCGGACCCGACUGCUAUCAGAGUGGGACUAAGCCAUGCGAGUCAACAUAGCAAUAUGUGGCAUACGGCUCAGUAACACGUAGUCAACAUGCCCAGGGGACGUGGAUAACCUCGGGAAACUGAGGAUAAACCGCGAUAGGUCAUCACUUCUGGAAUGGGUAAUGACUUAAAUCUAUAUGGCCCCUGGAUUGGACUGCGGCCGAUCAGGCUGUUGGUGAGGUAAUGGCCCACCAAACCUGUAACCGGUACGGGCUCUGAGAGGAGGAGCCCGGAGAUGGGCACUGAGACAAGGGCCCAGGCCCUAUGGGGCGCAGCAGGCGCGAAACCUCUGCAAUAGGCGAAAGCUUGACAGGGUUACUCUGAGUGAUUUCCGUUAAGGAGAUCUUUUGGCACCUCUAAAAAUGGUGCAGAAUAAGGGGUGGGCAAGUCUGGUGUCAGCCGCCGCGGUAAUACCAGCACCCCGAGUGGUCGGGACGUUUAUUGGGCCUAAAGCAUCCGUAGCCGGUUCUACAAGUCUUCCGUUAAAUCCACCUGCUUAACAGAUGGGCUGCGGAAGAUACUAUAGAGCUAGGAGGCGGGAGAGGCAAGCGGUACUCGAUGGGUAGGGGUAAAAUCCGCUGAUCCAUAGAAGACCACCAGUGGCGAAGGCGGCUUGCCAGAACGCGCUCGACGGUGAGGGAUGAAAGCUGGGGGAGCAAACCGGAUUAGAUACCCGGGUAGUCCCAGCUGUAAACGAUGCAGACUCGGUGAUGAGUUGGCUUAUUGCUAACUCAGUGCCGCAGGGAAGCCGUUAAGUUUGCCGCCUGGGGAGUACGGUCGCAAGACUGAAACUUAAAGGAAUUGGCGGGGAGCA